Molecule: long non-coding RNA, 1114 nt
Organism: Malus domestica (apple)
Lineage: Eukaryota; Viridiplantae; Streptophyta; Magnoliopsida; Rosales; Rosaceae
Source: RefSeq, a predicted model, not a curated record
UGUUCCGUCCCACGUUUGGUAUGCCAAAAAUUGGUGGAACGCGCUGUUCCAUGGGACAGAAAUUUGGUGUUUUUGCGUCCCGCCUUCCCCCUGGAACGGGUUGUUCCACGUAUGUGGAACACAAAAAUUCCACUGUCUACCCUCUCUGUCUCUCCCGCAACCUCCCUCUCCCGUAGCUUCGUUACCCUCCCUCUCUCCUGUAGCCUCCUCCUCCUCCUCCUCCUCCUCUACCUCAAACCCAGCUGCAUCUUCCUCGACCUCAACGCUCCCUCCACCACAGACUCACGUUCUGGGGAGUUCGCGACGAUUCAUCUUCAUCUUCGUCCCAUCUUUUUUCUCUGCCACUGCCUUUUCCCGUAGCCUUCCCCUCAUCCUCUCCCGUAGCAGCUGCAUCUCCAUGUUCGAUCUCGAUCUUCUCCCUUAGCAGCUGCAUCUCUAGGUUCGAUCUCGAUCUUCUUCAGGAGUCGCUGCAUCUUUCAGCUCCAGUCUGCAAUUAUGCGAAAGGAAAAUGGGUUGUGGACCAUAAGAAGCUGCUGUAUUCUGGGCAUGGUUGUAAGCAAUGCCUGUCAAGUAUGUGGUCUUGCCGGAUGACAAAGUGCAUAGAUUUUUCCUAUGAGAAGGUUUCAUGGCAGCCAAAAGAUUGUCAAAUGGAAGAAUUUGAAGGCUAUAAGUUCUUGAAAAGACUAUACAUUUAUACAAUGCUCGCGCUCAAUGGGUACCUGUGUAUUUCUGGGAUUCCUGUUUUGCUGCUGUAUCUCCCAAUCAAGAGUACAAUGGUUCCUUUUUUGAAGGCUAUAUGAAUCAACAGACCACAAUACAAUGGCUCCUUUGGAGAAUCGGUUUGAAAGGGAAAUAGAAGCAGACUUUUCUGAUUGUGAUUUGCGUAGUUUUUCUGUUUUAUUAUUACUUACCCAUGCUCUUUGCUUUUCGUUUUAUAGGUCUCCAUGUAUGUUGUUGCAACACAUUAGUUCUGUUGGGAUUGUAGGGAUAAGUUAGUUGGUUAGUAGCUUAUGAGUGAAGCAAAGAAUACUUGUAUAAAUAACAAACACCUCUCUCUCUCGCUCUCUCUCUGUAAUUCAUUCAUUGUUCAAGGAAUACAAUCUUUAGUCAGUCA